RNAcentral lists this long non-coding RNA (941 nucleotides) under Gallus gallus (chicken). RNAcentral's name for it is "long non-coding RNA NONGGAT003171". The record is from RNAcentral. Lineage: Eukaryota; Metazoa; Chordata; Aves; Galliformes; Phasianidae.
GGAGCUGCUGCUGUGAGCCAACUCGUGGGCACAGACUGCAGAGCACUUGGUGCUCUUUGAACCCAACUGCUCUGGGAGAGGGGCUGUGCUGCUGGCCACCACCUUCACUGCCUCUUGCUGUUGCCUGAAGCCAUUUGCUGCUGUUGGGAAGUACCUGCUGGUAACCAAGGGCUGAGGUACGUGCUCAGAACCCCAUUCUGCUUCUCCCUCCGUUCCCCUGGAGUGUGCCACCAGUAGCACACGUGGGCAAAUGAUGGCUUUGCAAAGCUCCCAGGCUGACUUGGACUUUAUUGAGCAAGAACAAAUGACAAGGAUCGCACCAGGACAGUGUUGGGUUUCUCCUCCAUGCUGUGCUUUCUUCUACCAGCAUAGGCUGAGAGCUGUUAGAAAGAACAGAGCUGGGCCGCACAGUGGGCUGCAGCCUGCCGGGGGUCAGACAUCAAGAAAUGGACCGGUGAGGCGGCCACACGUUUGGAGGCUUGAGCUUCAACUCUUGCUGAACUGCUACCUGAGGCAGAGGGCAGUGUUACCUCCUAGGUCACAGCUUCUGCUGUGGGAAUCCUUUCAGUAGCCUCCAAUUGUCCUUAAUGUUUUAUUUUUAACCUUACUUCACCCAAUUCUGUUGACACUUAAAUGAAGAACAGCAGAGACUUCCCCCCCCCCUCCCUCUAGUACAAUCCGGGAUUGGAAAUCCCAGCAGCCAGGGGAUCCCAGUGCCCAGGUCUGGGAGAGCCACCCCUGCCCAUCACCUGAGGGUGCCUGGCUGCAGGCUGGGAUGGCAGCGGGUACGGGGCAGUCUGUUCUUGCUGGAAGGGGAGUGUGUCCACAUGGGUGGUGUUUAUCCAAGCAGCUCCUUGGUCUUCGCUGCCAGCAGCUUGUCCAUCUCUGCUGCAGCACUGUCUGCCAUUUGCUGGAUCUGCAGCGACACAGCACAAGUCUGA